UAAUACGGAGGAUCCAAGCGUUAUCCGGAUUUAUUGGGUUUAAAGGGUGCGUAGGCGGACUCAUAAGUCAGUGGUGAAAGUUUGCAGCUUAACUGUAAAAUUGCCAUUGAAACUGUAGGUCUUGAGUGCAAGUGAGGUAAGCGGAAUGUGUUGUGUAGCGGUGAAAUGCUUAGAUAUGACACAGAACACCGAUUGCGAAGGCAGCUUACUAAUAUGUAACUGACGCUGAGGCACGAAAGCGUGGGGAUCAAACAGG
This 256-nucleotide ribosomal RNA is filed under the name uncultured bacterium. Its description in RNAcentral is "partial 16S ribosomal RNA". It matches the Rfam family "Bacterial small subunit ribosomal RNA", at positions 521 to 776 of the family's 1533-position model. The record is from RNAcentral.